UGAGUACGAGAUGCUACGGCAUCGAAGCAGUCUAUGUCAUACUUCCAAGAAAAGCUUGCACUGUCAGAAACAGAUAAUGCCUGUACCAUAACCGACACAGGUGGGUAGGUAGAGUAUACUAAGGGGCGCGAGAUAACUCUCUCUAAGGAACUCGGCAAAAUGACUCCGUAACUUCGGGAGAAGGAGUGCCUUAUUUUUAAGGUUGCAAUAACAAGAUCCAAGCAACUGUUUACCAAAAACACAGGUCUCCGCUAAGUCGUAAGACGAUGUAUGGGGGCUGACGCCUGCCCAGUGCCAGAAGGUUAAAGAAGUCGGUUAGCAUUCGCGAAGCUGGUAACUGAAGCCCUGGUGAACGGCGGCCGUAACGAUAACGGUCCUAAGGUAGCGAAAUUCCUUGUCGGGUAAGUUCCGACCCGCACGAAAGGCGUAAUGAUUUGGAUACUGUCUCGGAGAGGGGCUCGGUGAAAUAGACUUGUCUGUGAAGAUGCGGACUACCUGCACCUGGACAGAAAGACCCUAUGAAGCUUUACUGUAACUUGAAAUUGAAAUUGGACUUUAUUUGCGCAGUAUAGGUGGGAGGCGUUGAAAAUAUUCUUGCGGGAAUAUUGGAGCCAUCAGUGAGAUACCACUCUUGUAAUGUUAGAUUUCUAACUUUAUAUCAUUAUCUGGUUAAAGAACAGUUUCAGGCGGGCAGUUUGACUGGGGCGGUCGCCUCCCAAAUGGUAACGGAGGCGCACAAAGGUUUCCUCUGAACGGGUAGAAAUCGUAUCUAGAGUGUAAAGGCAUAAGGAAGCUUGACUGUGAGACCUACAAGUCGAGCAGGGACGAAAGUCGGUCUUAGUGAUCUGACGGUGCUGAGUGGAAAGGCCGUCACUCAACGGAUAAAAGUUACUCUAGGAUAACAGGCUGAUCUCCCCCAAGAGUUCACAUCGACGGGGAGGUUUGGCACCUCGAUGUCGGCUCAUCGCAUCCUGGGGCGGUAGUACGUCCCAAGGGUUGGGCUGUUCGCCCAUGAAAGCGGUACGCGAGCUGGGUUCAGAACGUCGUGAGACAGUUCGGUCCAUAUCCGGUGUAGGCGUUAGAAUAUUGAGAGGAGCCUUCUUUAGUACGAGAGGACCGAGAAGGACAUACCUCUGGUGUACCAGUUAUCGUGCCAACGGUAAACGCUGGGUAGCUAUGUAUGGAGUGGAUAACCGCUGAAAGCAUCUAAGUGGGAAGCCCACCUCAAGAUAAGUAUUCUC
RNAcentral lists this ribosomal RNA (1241 nucleotides) under metagenome. Its description in RNAcentral is "bacterial LSU rRNA". It matches the Rfam family "Bacterial large subunit ribosomal RNA", at positions 1564 to 2815 of the family's 2925-position model. The record is from RNAcentral.